GAGACACACCGAGAGAGGAGAGAGGAGAGGAGGAAGGAGGAAUCAAGGAGGAGAGGAGACCAGGGAGGAAAAAGAGAAGGUUUUACACAUUCAUUAAUUAUCAGAUUGAAUCUUAUCGUCCACCUCCGGGAAGAAGUAAAGAGGAGAAGUUUACAUUCUGGAUUUGAAGACAAAGCUGCAGCAGUGGAAGAAGAUCCAAAGAGGUGACGGUGACACGUAGAAACGGUGACACACAGACACAAGACCCACGUGAACCAGACUCACCGAGAGGAAGCCAGAGGAGUCCAGCAGGCUCUCGAUCAGGUGUCCGGUGUGCUGGUCGGUCCUUUCACCAACUCGGGGUUCAGCACCUUCUGCCAGCGAUGCUGACACUGGCCAUCUGUCCUCCCCUGUGACACAAGGACACCGUCAUCAGGAACAGCACGUCAUUACGGCACACUGUAGGCACCACCGCCACUGGCACCACCACCUCCACCACCACCUCCACCACCACCUCCACCAAUACCAUGGCCAGCACCUCGUCAUUACGGCACACUGUAGCCCCCAGCCACCACUGCCACCACCUCCACCAGCACCACCUCCUCCAACACCACCACCUGCGACAGCACCUUAUCAUAACAGCCCACUGUAACCUCCAACACCACCAUCACCUCCUCCACCAUAUCCAGAACCUCCACCAUCACCAUCAUCUCCAUAUCCAUCACCCUGACCACCACCUCCUCCACCACCACCUCCACCACCA
Molecule: long non-coding RNA, 742 nt
Organism: Gadus morhua (Atlantic cod)
Lineage: Eukaryota; Metazoa; Chordata; Actinopteri; Gadiformes; Gadidae
Exons: 3
Source: RefSeq, a predicted model, not a curated record